UGGAGGUACCAACGUGUCUCCUGAAGCA
This 28-nucleotide non-coding RNA is filed under the name Rattus norvegicus (Norway rat). Lineage: Eukaryota; Metazoa; Chordata; Mammalia; Rodentia; Muridae. The record is from RNAcentral.